CUAACUUAUUGGGAGAAAUAUGAUGUUGUAGACUCUACUGACUCAAGUGCUUAAGUUAAAAAUGACUGGAAAUUCAUGAAGAUGUUGUCUUUUUACUUAGAGAAUAGUCUAUUUAAUUUAAAAUUUAUGAAAUGUUAGUAGUUGUAAUAGUUUAAUAUACGAUAUUUGGGAUUUAAAAUGUUGUUGGUAUUAUGUUUCAAUUUUUGUUAUUAAACAUGUAAUGGUUCAUUUAUAUUUAGUGAUUUAGUGUUUUAA
Cajanus cajan (pigeon pea) is the source of this 255-nucleotide non-coding RNA. NCBI's taxonomy places the organism in Eukaryota, Viridiplantae, Streptophyta, Magnoliopsida, Fabales, Fabaceae. The record is from RefSeq and is a predicted model, not a curated record.